RNAcentral lists this ribosomal RNA (663 nucleotides) under Salmonella enterica subsp. enterica serovar Typhimurium. Its description in RNAcentral is "partial 23S ribosomal RNA". It matches the Rfam family "Bacterial large subunit ribosomal RNA", at positions 1134 to 1715 of the family's 2925-position model. The record is from RNAcentral. Lineage: Bacteria; Pseudomonadati; Pseudomonadota; Gammaproteobacteria; Enterobacterales; Enterobacteriaceae.
GUAAUAGCUCACUGGUCGAGUCGGCCUGCGCGGAAGAUGUAACGGGGCUAAACCAUGCACCGAAGCUGCGGCAGCGAACGUAUCACUUAAAGCGAUUCAGCGGGUUACGAUUGACGGAGCGAAGCGACGUCAAAGCGUAUACAAAGUCGAGUCGGUUUAAGGAUACGUUCGUUGGGUAGGGGAGCGUUCUGUAAGCCCGUGAAGGUGGCCUGUGAGGGUUGCUGGAGGUAUCAGAAGUGCGAAUGCUGACAUAAGUAACGAUAAAGCGGGUGAAAAGCCCGCUCGCCGGAAGACCAAGGGUUCCUGUCCAACGUUAAUCGGGGCAGGGUGAGUCGACCCCUAAGGCGAGGCCGAAAGGCGUAGUCGAUGGGAAACGGGUUAAUAUUCCCGUACUUGGUGUUACUGCGAAGGGGGGACGGAGAAGGCUAUGUUGGCCGGGCGACGGUUGUCCCGGUUUAAGCGUGUAGGUGUGUGUUCCAGGUAAAUCCGGUUCACUUUAACACUGAGGCGUGACGACGAGGCACUACGGUGCUGAAGCAACAAAUGCCCUGCUUCCAGGAAAAGCCUCUAAGCAUCAGGUAACAUCAAAUCGUACCCCAAACCGACACAGGUGGUCAGGUAGAGAAUACCAAGGCGCUUGAGAGAACUCGGGUGAAGGAACUA